Molecule: ribosomal RNA, 253 nt
Filed under: uncultured bacterium
Lineage: Bacteria
Description: partial 16S ribosomal RNA
Rfam family: Bacterial small subunit ribosomal RNA
Source: RNAcentral
UACGUAGGAUGCAAGCGUUAUCCGGAAUUAUUGGGCGUAAAGAGCUCGUAGGCGGUUUGUCGCGUCUGCCGUGAAAGUCCGGGGCUCAACUCCGGAUCUGCGGUGGGUACGGGCAGACUAGAGUGAUGUAGGGGAGACUGGAAUUCCUGGUGUAGCGGUGAAAUGCGCAGAUAUCAGGAGGAACACCGAUGGCGAAGGCAGGUCUCUGGGCAUUAACUGACGCUGAGGAGCGAAAGCAUGGGGAGCGAACAGG